AGAUAUUCUCCAGUCUCCACCUCCUGUGGUCUGGUAGGGCCUCCUGCAGCUAAGUCAAAGGUGUUAAUUAGUUAAUAGCUGGGCUCCUUUCUGGAAGUUGUAUGGGCCUGAAAACAUUCAUAUGAACCACACAGUCCAGAAGAAGAAAAACAACAUAAGAAGUUAUGGAUUCUUGGAAUCUAUAUGGAUUCUAUGGUAGUUUGAGUACCUAAAAUAUAGACAGAUUCUCUGACACAGGAUUAGACAUAUCUCCAGGAUGGUUCCGAUCUCCAACAGCUAUGCAGCAAUUCUACCAGACAUACUCUCCAGCAGCAGUCUGGACUUUUACGUCUGACUCCGAACAGCAUGUGCCUCUGUAGGGACCAUCACUCGGGACCAUUGCCAGCAGACAGCUUCGUAAAACUUCUCUUGCAGAACUCCCUCCGAGUCAGAUAGGCACCUCGUGGGAAAGCGUGUUGCUACACUUUCUAAUCACUUCUACAUUCUCAAGAUGUACAGUGCCCAAAAUCAACAGGACCAGCUCCAAAUGGAAACAGAUUGCUUGGCCUGAGACUGAAUGUUUAGCAGGAGACAGGCAGCCCUGCUGUGCUUUCAGAGGGGUCUGGGAGGGGAGAAGGGGCCCCUCGUGGGAAAGUUGUAGAAUAAGAAGGGGAUCUGCUAC
This 661-nucleotide long non-coding RNA is filed under the name Mus musculus (house mouse). RNAcentral describes it as "RIKEN cDNA 4930534H03 gene (4930534H03Rik)". Lineage: Eukaryota; Metazoa; Chordata; Mammalia; Rodentia; Muridae. The record is from RNAcentral.